UACGGAGGGAGCUAGCGUUGUUCGGAUUCAUUGGGCGUAAAGGGUGUGUAGGUGGCGCCGUAAGUCGGGUGUGAAAUUUCGGAGCUUAACUCCGAAACUGCAUUCGAUACUGCGGUGCUUGAGGACUGGAGAGGAGACUGGAAUUCAUGGUGUAGCAGUGAAAUGCGUAGAGAUCAUGAGGAAGACCAGUGGCGAAGGCGGGUCUCUGGACAGUUCCUGACACUGAGACACGAAGGCCAGGGGAGCAAACGGG
Molecule: ribosomal RNA, 253 nt
Filed under: uncultured bacterium
Lineage: Bacteria
Description: partial 16S ribosomal RNA
Rfam family: Bacterial small subunit ribosomal RNA
Source: RNAcentral